ACGCGUUGGGAGCUCUCCCAUAUGGUCGACCUGCAGGCGGCCGCGAAUUCACUAGUGAUUGGCUGCUGGCACGAAGUUAGCCGGGGCUUAUUCUUGCGGUACCGUCAUUAUCUUCCCGCACAAAAGAGCUUUACAACCCUAGGGCCUUCAUCACUCACGCGGCAUGGCUGGAUCAGGGUUGCCCCCAUUGUCCAAUAUUCCCCACUGCUGCCUCCCGUAGGAGUUUGGGCCGUGUCUCAGUCCCAAUGUGGCUGAUCAUCCUCUCAGACCAGCUACUGAUCGUCGCCUUGGUGAGCCAUUACCUCACCAACUAGCUAAUCAGACGCGGGCCAAUCUUUCGGCGAUAAAUCUUUCCCCGUAAGGGCUUAUCCGGUAUUAGCACAAGUUUCCCUGUGUUGUUCCGAACCAAAAGGUAUGUUCCCACGCGUUACUCACCCGUCUGCCGCUGACGUAUUGCUACGCCCGCUCGACUUGCAUGUGUUAAGCCUGCCGCCAGCGUUCGCUCUGAGCCAUGAUCAAACUCUAAUCGAAUUCCCGCGGCCGCCAUGGCG
RNAcentral lists this ribosomal RNA (551 nucleotides) under uncultured Alphaproteobacteria bacterium. Its description in RNAcentral is "partial 16S ribosomal RNA". The record is from RNAcentral. Lineage: Bacteria; Pseudomonadati; Pseudomonadota; Alphaproteobacteria.